RNAcentral lists this long non-coding RNA (934 nucleotides) under Gallus gallus (chicken). RNAcentral describes it as "lncRNA (ENSGALG00010018382.1)". Lineage: Eukaryota; Metazoa; Chordata; Aves; Galliformes; Phasianidae. The record is from RNAcentral.
GAACGUGCAGAGCAUUUCAGAGCUUGUGAUGGUUUACACAUCAGCCCUGCGCAAACUACGCAUCAUACCUACAGCAGUGACAACCACCUUGCAGCUGAAUCAGCUCUGUGGUGAGGAGAGCUGUGGUCUGUCUGCAGUGCUACCAGAAAAGAUACAAACACAACAGUGAAAUGAAAGAGCAGCUCAUCAAGAGCACUUUGGGUUCCUGGAGAAACUUCCCACAGUGCAAAAGAGUUUCUAAGCUGUCCUGAAGAAAAAGACAAACUUGGGAGGAGCAGAAGAUCCCUUGCUUGCUGUUGGUCUUCAUUGUCAGAGCCAGUUUCUGGAAGAUCUGAAAUCUCUUCUGACAGACCCACUGGGAUCUCUGGUGGCUUGGCUGCUGAGUAGGCACAUUGAAGAAAAUCAAAAACUAUGUCUUCUGUUUGGGCCUAAAAUGUGGUUGUGUUCUGUGUCCAACCACCAGCUCUCCAGGAAAGUUCCUCUUCAGAGGAGAGACCAUUGAAGCCAAGGAGUGGGAAAUGUGCUGGAGAGGAUGUGCUCCCUUGGGCAAAGCAAAGCAGUGUGCAGCUACUUUUCUGUUUCCUCCUUGUUGGACCCUCUCUGCUGUGCACCAGGGUAUAGACAGUCGUCUGCAUGACUGUCAGUGCUGUGAUGGAUUGGAGCAGGCUGGGAAGGCAGCAAGAGGGUGGGGAACAAGGAUGGCAAGAAUGGUCUCCAACACCGUUACCACCCCGAGCUUCUAGUUCCUCUUCUGUCCCAAAAGCCAAGACAGCAUCAGCAGACUGCUCCAGCAACCCAGUGCAGCAGCCCAGGGUGCAGCACGAGAACCCAGACUGUAGCCCAGCGCAGUCCCAGGGGGCUACUGAGAUCUCCACAGCAAAGAUAGAUAAAUACUGUCUAAAUGUGUUUUGUUUUCGUUUGUUACUAUUUCCUG